UCAGCCACAUUGGGACUGAGACACGGCCCAAACUCCUACGGGAGGCAGCGUGGGGAAUCUUGCACAAUGGAGGAAACUCUGAUGCAGCGAUGCCGCGGAGUGAAGAAGGCCUUUGGGNUGUAAAGCUCUUUCGUCGGGGAAGAAAAUGACUGUACCCGAAUAAGAA
Molecule: ribosomal RNA, 166 nt
Filed under: unidentified proteobacterium
Lineage: Bacteria; Pseudomonadati; Pseudomonadota
Description: partial 16S ribosomal RNA
Rfam family: Bacterial small subunit ribosomal RNA
Source: RNAcentral